Lactuca sativa (garden lettuce) is the source of this 735-nucleotide long non-coding RNA. RefSeq lists it as uncharacterized. NCBI's taxonomy places the organism in Eukaryota, Viridiplantae, Streptophyta, Magnoliopsida, Asterales, Asteraceae. The record is from RefSeq and is a predicted model, not a curated record.
UGGUGAUUGCCGCUAAAUGCAGACUACCAUAUUUGAGAAGAGUAUGAUUGAAACAAUGGUGGUGGUUUUCUUCCAAAACAAGAUAUUUUACCUGAUAAAGAUCACAUAUUUUAGGAAGAGCUAAUGCUGACUGAUUACAAAGGUGUAUGCCAUGUUGCUCUUGCACAAGGUCAUUGUAGGCCUCGAGAGGUGUUACUUGGUACCGAUUCCUACAUGUGUACUGCUGGAGCAUUUGGCUAGUUUGCUACAAGAAUCGAAAACACUGAUGCCGAAUUUGUGUUAGGAACCGGAAAGCUAUUGCUUAAGGUGCCUCCAACCUUAAGAUUCGUAUUGGAUGGAGAAAUGUCAGGUUAUCUUCUUGCAAAAGAUUUGAUUUUACAAAUAAUUGAUGAAAUAUCUAUAUUUGGUGCCACAUAAAAAACAAUGAAGUUUGUUUGUUCAACUAUCGGUCUAAUAUACUGAAAGAACACAACUCAUAUUCAAUAAAGCUUUCUCGAGAGGCCAGAUAAUAAAAAGCUCUCGGUCUCCAAAAUAGCCCUAUAAACGCAUAACGUCCUUCAAGAUCGAUAGAGGUGUCUCUCUUCUAUAUCGUUAAUCUAUGCUUUAAACAUGCGAUUUUAUUCUGACUUAUGUAUUAGAGAACUCCCACAGUAUAUCUCUUCUCGUUUGUAUUAUAUUAAGGAGAUUGCAUAUUGAGGACUUCACCAAAAAAAAAGGCAAAUAUCAUUAGUCAUA